This is a long non-coding RNA of Suricata suricatta (meerkat), 719 nucleotides long. RefSeq lists it as uncharacterized. The transcript has 2 exons. The record is from RefSeq and is a predicted model, not a curated record. NCBI's taxonomy places the organism in Eukaryota, Metazoa, Chordata, Mammalia, Carnivora, Herpestidae.
CGCUCCCCCCGGGCGCGCCCCGAGCUGCGCCGACGUGUCCGGAGUCGAGGCGCCCGGAAACGGCCGGCCCCGCGGGCCUCCCGCCGCCCUGCGCUGGCCGGAGGGACCAGGUUUCGGGUUUUCAAGGCUUGCCAAGUCGUUUUGCAAGUCGGGUAGUUAGCGACCUAAGAGAUUCCUAGUGAUCGUGGAGCUCCUGCGGCUUCACCCCGGCUGCGCUCCAGGAUUCCCGGGAGAGUUGGUUUAACACCUGUUUCGUAUUCUCCAUUAAAAAAAAAAAAAUGCUAUCCGGUUGUAUUUCUAAGAAUCUACCCAAGACUCAUACUCGUGCCAGUGUGCACGAGGACGUCUGUGCAAAGUGUUUAAGCUCAGCAUUCCUCGUAACAGCGAACGACUGAAAAGAUCGAAUUGCCCAUCCGCAGAGAGCUGGUUAAAUACAGUGGAUGUGCUCACACAUGCCAGGGCAGGCAUGAUUUUCAGAGGCAGGCGCGGAACGAAGUAUGCUAUACCACCAUUGCGUACAAACCUAACGUGUGUUGUGUGUUCGCCUGUAAAUGCGUAGACUAUGAAAGAGUUCCUAGAAGUUGAUAUUGGUAGUUACUUUGGGGCUGAGAAAUUAGGGUGAAGGGUAGGAGGAAGCGAUUUCAUUUUAGGUCUUUCUGUCCUGGAUGUUGUAAAUCGUGCAUUUAUUGCCCUUUAAAAAAUAAACAGAGAAAACAUCA